GACGAACGCUGGCGGCGUGCCUAAUACAUGCAAGUUGAGCGCUGAAGGUUGGUACUUGUACCAACUGGAUGAGCAGCGAACGGGUGAGUAACGCGUGGGGAAUCUGCCUUUGAGCGGGGGACAACAUUUGGAAACGAAUGCUAAUACCGCAUAAAAACUUUAAACACAAGUUUUAAGUUUGAAAGAUGCAAUUGCAUCACUCAAAGAUGAUCCCGCGUUGUAUUAGCUAGUUGGUGAGGUAAAGGCUCACCAAGGCGAUGAUACAUAGCCGACCUGAGAGGGUGAUCGGCCACAUUGGGACUGAGACACGGCCCAAACUCCUACGGGAGGCAGCAGUAGGGAAUCUUCGGCAAUAGACGAAAGUCUGACCGAGCAACGCCGCGUGAGUGAAGAAGGGUUUCGGAUCGUAAAACUCUGUUGGCAGAGAAGAACGUUGGUGAGAGUGGAAAGCUCAUCAAGUGACGGUAACUACCCAGAAAGGGACGGCUAACUACGUG
Molecule: ribosomal RNA, 497 nt
Filed under: uncultured bacterium
Lineage: Bacteria
Description: partial 16S ribosomal RNA
Rfam family: Bacterial small subunit ribosomal RNA
Source: RNAcentral